CUGCUGCAGGAGAUGUGCAAUGCAAAGGAAGGAAGUGAAAGCUGAAUUUGAUGUUUUUCUGCAGGUGGAGGGAACACCCACAGCCCCCAGGAGGAUCUGCCCCGUGCCAGGGACUGGCUCAGCACCUCAGCUGCCAAGAUCUCCAUUAGGAGGACAGCUGGAUGUGGGGAUGAUGGCAAGGUGCUCAGCCACGAUGCUCACAGGUGACACAACAUCCACAGCACUCUCCUGGAACCUCAGCACGGAGAGCCACAGCUCUGCCCUCCCCAGCACGGAUUGAUCAUCACAGGUAACUGGAAAAUGUCUGAUCUGUAACCAAAAAUGUGACAGGGCUUCAAGGCCAGGAGAACUCACAGACAUUCCCAAGCAAAGAGAUCUUGCUCCUGGUUUCCAGAGGAGGCUGCAGAGCAGGCACUGUG
RNAcentral lists this long non-coding RNA (419 nucleotides) under Parus major (Great Tit). RNAcentral describes it as "lncRNA (ENSPMJG00000009124.1)". The record is from RNAcentral. Lineage: Eukaryota; Metazoa; Chordata; Aves; Passeriformes; Paridae.